This 1445-nucleotide unclassified non-coding RNA is filed under the name uncultured fungus. RNAcentral describes it as "sequence contains 18S rRNA gene, ITS1, 5.8S rRNA gene, ITS2, 28S rRNA gene". The stretch from base 511 to 1445 matches the Rfam family "Eukaryotic large subunit ribosomal RNA", at positions 1 to 961 of the family's 3401-position model. Lineage: Eukaryota; Fungi. The record is from RNAcentral.
GGAAGGAUCAUUACUUGAUUCCGGGUGCUUAGGCGCCCGUCCUUAUGCCCUCAGCUGGCUGCUGGCUGGGGGUGUAUUCUUACCCUUGUCUAUACGCACCGUUCGUUUCCUAGGCGGGCAUAUCCUGCCCGCCAAUAGGACAAUAAUAAACCCUUUUGCAAUAGUAUACAUUGUCUGAUAAACCUAAAUUGUUACAACUUUCAACAAUGGAUCUCUUGGUUCUGGCAUCGAUGAAGAACGCAGCGAAAUGCGAUAAGUAGUGUGAAUUGCAGAAUUCAGUGAAUCAUCGAAUCUUUGAACGCACAUUGCGCCCCUUGGUAAUCCAUGGGGCAUGCCUGUUCGAGCGUCGUUUACGAAUUCAAGCUCUGCUUGGUGAUGGGUGCCUGUCCUGCCUUUGUGCAGUUGACUCGCCUUAACAGUAUUGGCAGCAGUCUUACCGGCUCCUUGCGCAGCAGUAUGCGCUUCUGGGGGUACUGGUCAGGCCGCGUCCACGAAGUCUUUUUUACUGUUGGACCUCGGAUCAGGUAGGGAUACCCGCUGAACUUAAGCAUAUCAAUAAGCGGAGGAAAAGAAACCAACUGGGAUUGCCCUAGUAACGGCGAGUGAAGCGGCAAUAGCUCAAAUUUGAAAUCUGGCUCUCUAUGGGGGCCCGAGUUGUAAUUUGCAGAGGGUGCUUUGGCAUGCCGUGGCGGUCUAAGUUCCUUGGAACAGGACAUCACAGAGGGUGAGAAUCCCGUAUGUGGUCGCUACCUUUGCCAUGUAAAGCCCCUUCGACGAGUCGAGUUGUUUGGGAAUGCAGCUCUAAAUGGGAGGUAAAUUUCUUCUAAAGCUAAAUACCGGCCAGAGACCGAUAGCGCACAAGUAGAGUGAUCGAAAGAUGAAAAGCACUUUGGAAAGAGAGUCAAAUAGCACGUGAAAUUGUUGAAAGGGAAGCGCUUAUAGCUAGACUUGCCCGCAGUUGCUCACCCAUUUUGGGGCACUCUUCUGCGGGCAGGCCAGCAUCAGUUUGGGCGGCUGGACAAUGGCCUCUGUCAUGUAUCUUCCUGCGGGAUGACCUUAUAGGGGAGGCGUAGUACGGCCAGCCUGGACUGAGGUCCGCGCGUUUGCUAGGAUGCUGGCGUAAUAGCUGUAAGCGGCCCGUCUUGAAACACGGACCAAGGAGUCUAACAUCUAUGCGAGUGUUUGGGUGUCAAGCCCGGGCGCGCAAUGAAAGUGAACGGAGGUGGGAACCCUUGGGUGCACCAUCGACCGAUCCUGAUGUCUUCGGAUGGAUUUGAGUAAGAGCAUAGCUGUUGGGACCCGAAAGAUGGUGAACUAUGCUUGAAUAGGGUGAAGCCAGAGGAAACUCUGGUGGAGGCUCGCAGCGGUUCUGACGUGCAAAUCGAUCGUCAAAUUUGGGCAUAGGGGCGAAAGACUAAUCGAACUAUCUAGUAGCUGGUUCCUGC